AUAUAACGCCAUACCACCCUGAACAUGCCUGAUCUUGUCUGAUCUCGGAAGUUAAGCAGGGUCGGGCCUGGUUAGUACUCGGAUGGGAGAAACAUAACACAGAAGCAGGACAAUGAUAAUUC
This is a non-coding RNA of Erinaceus europaeus (western European hedgehog), 122 nucleotides long. NCBI's taxonomy places the organism in Eukaryota, Metazoa, Chordata, Mammalia, Eulipotyphla, Erinaceidae. The record is from Rfam.